GCCAGGUGUGGUGGCGCAUACCUGUAGUCCCAGCUACUUGGGAGGCUGAAGUGGGAGGAUCACUUGAGCCCAGGAGGCAGAGGUUGCAGUGAGCCCAGAUUGUGCCACUGCAUUCCAGCCUGGGCAACACAGUGAGACCCCAUCUCAA
This 148-nucleotide signal recognition particle RNA is filed under the name Homo sapiens (human). RNAcentral's name for it is "Metazoan signal recognition particle RNA". It matches the Rfam family "Metazoan signal recognition particle RNA". From Rfam's summary of the family: The signal recognition particle (SRP) is a universally conserved ribonucleoprotein. Lineage: Eukaryota; Metazoa; Chordata; Mammalia; Primates; Hominidae. The record is from Rfam by way of RNAcentral.